GAAGCCUUCCAGAUGAUGAAGCUCAGAGAAGGAAGAUGUCCUUCCUAGGGGCACACCGCAGAGCACACAGAUUCCAGCCAGGGUCCUUGCGUCUCCAGCAGGAGCGCUCUUCUACCACACCCAGCUGCCCGCACUGGGGGCUUCCCUGUGUGUGUGGUGUGUGCACUUCUUCCACCUGAGACGGAUCCACCCAUACAGAAGUGUUGGGGACAGCACGCACGGCCUUUCCUGGAUCAGUCUGUGUUGGGACGACUCAAGGGAACUCAGUGCUGAUGCUCCAGGGCUUACUGUCUGCUGACAUGUUGUCAGGAUCAGGAAGGGAGGCGUUUUGGCAUCAAGAAUAUUUUUCAUAUCCCCUAACAGGUGCUGUGGUGACUCCUACUCCUCUGGUCCUGAUGCAACUUGAAAUGUGGCUCAAAGGAAAGAAGAAACACCGCCUUUGGCACUUGGUGUCUGAAAAUUUAUACAGAGAAUUUCAAUGUUUAUAUGCCAUCAUUUUGAGGUAUGGUAUUUUACCAAACUGUUUCACUGUAUUUUGACACAUCCAUUGCCACAUUAACUUGGGGGAAAAAAUGAAUGAAAUUUUGACUGAGUUUGGAAUAAAAAUUUUGAAUAUCAGCA
This 621-nucleotide long non-coding RNA is filed under the name Bos indicus x Bos taurus (hybrid cattle). RNAcentral's name for it is "lncRNA (ENSBIXG00005030845.1)". Lineage: Eukaryota; Metazoa; Chordata; Mammalia; Artiodactyla; Bovidae. The record is from RNAcentral.